GGAGGCGUCUGGGUUCCUGGUGGGCCCCGCGGUCUUCAAAACCGUUGAGCGGGUGCUGAGCCCGCUGGCGGGUUCGAUUCCCGUCCGCCUCCG
This 93-nucleotide transfer RNA is filed under the name Actinomycetota bacterium. RNAcentral's name for it is "tRNA-Sec". It matches the Rfam family "Selenocysteine transfer RNA". The record is from RNAcentral. Lineage: Bacteria; Bacillati; Actinomycetota.